CAGUCGCCGCGGUAAAACAGAGGGUGCAAGCGUUAAUCGGAAUUACUGGGCGUAAAGCGCGCGUAGGUGGUUUGUUAAGUUGGAUGUGAAAUCCCCGGGCUCAACCUGGGAACUGCAUUCAAAACUGACUGACUAGAGUAUGGUAGAGGGUGGUGGAAUUUCCUGUGUAGCGGUGAAAUGCGUAGAUAUAGGAAGGAACACCAGUGGCGAAGGCGACCACCUGGACUAAUACUGACACUGAGGUGCGAAAGCGUGGGGAGCAAACAGGAUUAGAUACCCCGGUAGUCCCUGUCUCUUAUAC
Molecule: ribosomal RNA, 301 nt
Filed under: uncultured bacterium
Lineage: Bacteria
Description: partial 16S ribosomal RNA
Rfam family: Bacterial small subunit ribosomal RNA
Source: RNAcentral